GGCUGGUGAUGUCUGUUUUUACAAUGGUUGUCACAUGCCCACCACGUACACUGCUGAGAAAGCCACUUGGCACAGCUAAUACCAGAAG
Molecule: small nucleolar RNA, 88 nt
Organism: Manis pentadactyla (Chinese pangolin)
Lineage: Eukaryota; Metazoa; Chordata; Mammalia; Pholidota; Manidae
Product: small nucleolar RNA SNORD35
Exons: 1
Source: RefSeq, a predicted model, not a curated record